Molecule: transfer RNA, 72 nt
Filed under: Candidatus Aenigmatarchaeota archaeon
Lineage: Archaea; Nanobdellati; Candidatus Aenigmatarchaeota
Description: tRNA-Ala
Rfam family: tRNA
About the family: Transfer RNA (tRNA) molecules are approximately 80 nucleotides in length. Their secondary structure includes four short double-helical elements and three loops (D, anti-codon, and T loops).
Source: RNAcentral
GGGCCGGUAGAUCAGUGGUAGAUCGCCACCUUGGCAUGGUGGAGGCCCCGGGUUCGAAUCCCGGCCGGUCCA